CGCCGCGUAGGGAUGACGGCCUUCGGGUUGUAAACCUCUUUCAGCAGGGACGAAGCGCAAGUGACGGUACCUGCAGAAGAAGCACCGGCCAACUACGUGCCAGCAGCCGCGGUAAUACGUAGGGUGCGAGCGUUGUCCGGAAUUAUUGGGCGUAAAGGGCUCGUAGGCGGUUUGUCGCGUCGGGAGUGAAAACUCAGGGCUUAACCCCGAGCCUGCUUCCGAUACGGGCAGACUAGAGGUAUGCAGGGGAGAACGGAAUUCCUGGUGUAGCGGUGAAAUGCGCAGAUAUCAGGAGGAACACCGGUGGCGAAGGCGGUUCUCUGGGCCUUUACCUGACGCUGAAGAGCGAAAGUGUGGGGAGCGAACAGGAUUAGAUACCCUGGUAGUCCACACCGUAAACGUUGGGCGCUAGGUGUGGGACUCAUUCCACGAGUUCCGUGCCGAAGCUAAAGCAUUAAGCGCCCCGCCUGGGGAGUACGGCCGCAAGGCUAAAACUCAAAGGAAUUGACGGGGGCCCGCACAAGCGGCGGAGCAUGCGGAUUAAUUCCAUGCAACGCGAAGAACCUUACCUGGGUUUGACAUAUGCCGGAA
Molecule: ribosomal RNA, 591 nt
Filed under: uncultured actinomycete
Lineage: Bacteria; Bacillati; Actinomycetota; Actinomycetes; Actinomycetales
Description: bacterial SSU rRNA
Rfam family: Bacterial small subunit ribosomal RNA
Source: RNAcentral